UACGAAGGGGGCUAGCGUUGCUCGGAAUUACUGGGCGUAAAGGGCGCGUAGGCGGAUAGUUUAGUCAGAGGUGAAAAGCCCCAGGGCUCAACCUUGGAAUUGCCUUUGAUACUGGCUAUCUUGAGUUCGGGAGAGGUGAGUGGAAUGCCGAGUGUAGAGGUGAAAUUCGUAGAUGAUUCGGCGGAACACCAGUGGCGAAGGCGACUGCACUGGCCCGAUACUGACGCUGAGGUGACGAAGCGUGGGGAGCAAACAGG
Molecule: ribosomal RNA, 257 nt
Filed under: uncultured bacterium
Lineage: Bacteria
Description: partial 16S ribosomal RNA
Rfam family: Bacterial small subunit ribosomal RNA
Source: RNAcentral